RNAcentral lists this ribosomal RNA (497 nucleotides) under uncultured bacterium. RNAcentral's name for it is "partial 16S ribosomal RNA". It matches the Rfam family "Bacterial small subunit ribosomal RNA", at positions 28 to 507 of the family's 1533-position model. The record is from RNAcentral.
GAUGAACGCUGGCGGCGUGCCUAAUACAUGCAAGUCGAGCGAACGGACGAGAAGCUUGCUUUUCUGAUGUUAGCGGCGGACGGGUGAGUAACACGUGGAUAACCUACCUAUAAGACUGGGAUAACUUCGGGAAACCGUAGCUAAUACCGGAUAAUAUUUUGAACCGCAUGGUUCAAAAGUGAAAGACGGUCUUGCUGUCACUUAUAGAUGGAUCCGCGCUGCAUUAGCUAGUUGGUAAGGUAACGGCUUACCAAGGCAACGAUGCAUAGCCGACCUGAGAGGGUGAUCGGCCACACUGGAACUGAGACACGGUCCAGACUCCUACGGGAGGCAGCAGUAGGGAAUCCUCCGCAAUGGGCGAAAGCCUGACGGAGCAAAGCCGCGUGAGUGAUGAAGCUCUUCGGAUCGUAAAACUCUGUUAUUAGGGAAGAACAUAUGUGUAAGUAACUGUGAACAUCUUGACGGUACCUAAUCAGAAAGCCACGGCUAACUACGUG